GGCUAACUGGCUCGGUCGGUAGAGCGCGGGACUCUUGAUCGCGCGGUCGUGAGUUCAAGCCCCAUGUUGGGUG
This 73-nucleotide transfer RNA is filed under the name Ailuropoda melanoleuca (giant panda). It matches the Rfam family "tRNA". From Rfam's summary of the family: Transfer RNA (tRNA) molecules are approximately 80 nucleotides in length. Their secondary structure includes four short double-helical elements and three loops (D, anti-codon, and T loops). Further hydrogen bonds mediate the characteristic L-shaped molecular structure. tRNAs have two regions of fundamental functional importance: the anti-codon, which is responsible for specific mRNA codon recognition, and the 3' end, to which the tRNAs corresponding amino acid is attached (by aminoacyl-tRNA synthetases). tRNAs cope with the degeneracy of the genetic code in two manners: having more than one tRNA (with a specific anti-codon) for a particular amino acid; and 'wobble' base-pairing, i.e. permitting non-standard base-pairing at the 3rd anti-codon position. Lineage: Eukaryota; Metazoa; Chordata; Mammalia; Carnivora; Ursidae. The record is from Rfam by way of RNAcentral.